GGGGAUGUGGCUCAGUAGUAGAGCAUUUGCCUAGCAUGCAGGAGGCCUGGGCUGGAUCUCCAGCAUCACAA
This is a non-coding RNA of Ictidomys tridecemlineatus (thirteen-lined ground squirrel), 71 nucleotides long. The record is from Rfam. Lineage: Eukaryota; Metazoa; Chordata; Mammalia; Rodentia; Sciuridae.